CCUACGGGUGGCAGCAGUGAGGAAUAUUGGUCAAUGGACGAGAGUCUGAACCAGCCAAGUAGCGUGAAGGAUGACUGCUCUAUGGGUUGUAAACUUCUUUUAUAUGGGAAUAAAGUUCAGUACGUGUUCCUUUUUGUAUGUACCAUAUGAAUAAGCAUCGGCUAACUCCGUGCCAGCAGCCGCGGUAAUACGGAGGAUCCGAGCGUUAUCCGGAUUUAUUGGGUUUAAAGGGUGCGUAGGUGGUGGAUUAAGUCAGCGGUGAAAGUUUGCGGCUCAACCAUAAAAUUGCAGUUGAUACUGGGUGACUUGAGUACAGUAGAGGUAGGCGGAAUGCGUGGUGUAGCGGUGAAAUGCAUAGAUAUCACGAAGAACUCCGAUUGCGAAGGCAGCUUACUAAACUAUAACUGACACUGAUGCACGAAAGUGUGGGUAUCAAACAGGAUUAGAUACCCUUGUAGUC
RNAcentral lists this ribosomal RNA (460 nucleotides) under uncultured bacterium. RNAcentral describes it as "partial 16S ribosomal RNA". It matches the Rfam family "Bacterial small subunit ribosomal RNA", at positions 338 to 795 of the family's 1533-position model. The record is from RNAcentral.